ACCAUGGCCUCCACCUCCAGCAUCCCGGAGGAAAAGAUGGGAAAGGAAUCAAAAAGGGAAAAUGAAAGAAAAUACAUAUAUAGACAUAGUGGAGAUACGAAAUGGGAAGAGAGAGAUAGAGGGUUGGGGGAAACAAGGUCAUUUAAGAACAUCGCUCAUCUCACAUUUACUGCGACUGGUGCCACAUCAAACACAAAGGGGGCUUAGAUGCCGAGUACCAUAGUUGGAAGUACAAGGACAAGCCAUGUAAUUAUUCACCCACAAAGACAAAAGCGACAAGUCAUGACGUGGGGACCUCUAACUUGGCAAAUUUAUAUCCAUUCAAGACAUGGUACCCCCACAUCCCCUCACCCCCGCACUGUGUUUCAUCUUUCUCUCUGUCUCACUUUAAUUACGGAAAACCAAAGCAAGAUGAUGUUUCGUAGGGAGAAACUGUACAUACACAUUAUAAAUUAAUUGAGAGGGGGGGUAGUAGGGGGAAGGUAGGCAGAAAAAGGGAACAUAAAAAGAGGAUGAACUGAAUAAAAUCAAAGGCUAGUAGAGUGUGGGCAAAAAUGGAGGAAAUAAAAAAAAUAAAUAAAUAAAUAAAAGGAAAAGUAAAAGGAGAGGGUGGUGGAGCGAGGGAAGAGGGGGGAUGGGUAAACAUUGGGGCUGCAGUUUAGAUACCUUAGCAUGAACUGGGAACCCGGCAUUGAAUGAGGGAGAGAAAGAGAGAGGGAAAGGGAAAGGUGGGGAGUGAAGGACAAAAUCAGCCCCAUCCCAUCCAGGUGGGUCAGAGCAGUCCCGCCCUUAACACUGUCUCCUCCUCCUCUCCUUCUUCUCCUUGUUCAUGUUUGAUGUAUCUUUACGGCUCUUAUGGAUGGUGUGCACCCCCAUGACCCGUUCCUAUCAUCCCUAACAUUUGGUUAUUAUUGCGGUUGUUUUCUGGGAUCUGCUGCCCACCCCUUUGGACUGUCAUUGUUAAUGCAUGCAUGCCCCUACACACAAGAAAUUAGAAUUCAAAACCCAUACACAUAGCUAGCCUCACACAUCAUCACCCUUUUUCCUUUUCCUCUUCUGAUGCUGCUAGCCGCUACCUACUUCUCCUUCGCCGCCCCCAACCCCACUCCCACUUGUUUUCCUUCUUUUUUUGGUUGCAGAUACGAGGGAAUUGAUCACAGCCCUUGGUUGGGCUUAAUGCUGAGUGGGAUACAUAUGAUGAUGAGCAAAGAAAAAGCGUGAGGGCACCUCUCACUAACUUUGGCACUUUCCAGGGAGGCUUUUUCUUAGGUGAGAAAUAAAGAAGAGGAGGUGGGGAAUGGGGGAAGAAGCCAUCCGAAAGAUCACGGGAAUGUGGUGCAUUAAAUCCAAACAAAAUAUCAACGUGGUCCAUGCACUCUACUACCCUCGCUAGAUUGCACGCGUCCUACUUUCGAACAGAUGGAUGAUCCCCUUUGAUGAAUGAUUGCUCACUCCUAGCGUCUACAUGGGACUACUGCUUUUUUAUCGUUUUCUCAACCAGCUGGACAGGUGUGAUCGUGAUGAAGCCGCAACAGGUGAACUUGUGUUUCUCCGCAUUGUUAAGGAGCUUCGUUACUUCUCGUUGCUAAUUAUUGAUUAUCCCUUCAUCGUUGCUAUGUGGGAACUGGGAUGGAGCUUUCAUUUGGCGAAACAAAUGAACAAAAAUAUGAAUGAGUUGGCAUGGGCCAUCAAAUCAUUCCACCCGUCAAUCAUACACUACCAUGCCGAAGGAUAUACUCAUCCUUCCCACUCUCAAAAAGAAUAAAUUACCGUGAAUAUUGUUCCUUUUUUGGGUCAUGCCAUGCAGGCUAAAUAGUUUGUCUGAUAAUUAAGUCCUAUCUAACUCUCAGAUGUCUUCUCUUUCACUUUCAGAAUCCAAAUUUCAUAAUUUGUUUUGUCAA
Long non-coding RNA from Vitis vinifera (wine grape), 1901 nucleotides. RefSeq lists it as uncharacterized. The transcript is spliced from 2 exons. The record is from RefSeq and is a predicted model, not a curated record. Lineage: Eukaryota; Viridiplantae; Streptophyta; Magnoliopsida; Vitales; Vitaceae.